UACGUAGGGUGCGAGCGUUAAUCGGAAUUACUGGGCGUAAAGAGCGCGCAGGCGGUCGUUCAAGUCGAGUGUGAAAGCCCCCGGCUCAACUGGGGAGGGUCAUUCGAUACUGAUCGACUUGAAGGCAGGAGAGGGAAGCGGAAUUCCCGGUGUAGUGGUGAAAUGCGUAGAUAUCGGGAGGAACACCAGUGGCGAAGGCGGCUUCCUGGCCUGUUCUUGACGCUGAGGCGCGAAAGCUAGGGGAGCAAACGGG
This 253-nucleotide ribosomal RNA is filed under the name uncultured bacterium. RNAcentral's name for it is "partial 16S ribosomal RNA". It matches the Rfam family "Bacterial small subunit ribosomal RNA", at positions 524 to 776 of the family's 1533-position model. The record is from RNAcentral.